CUACUCGGGAAGCUGAGACAGGAGAAUCACUUGAACCCUGGAGGCAGAGGUUGCAGUGAGCCAAGAUGGCGCCACUGCACUCCAGCCUGGGCGACAGAGCAAGACUCUGUCAAAAAAAAAAAAAAAAAAAAAAGAUUAAGAAACAGAAAAAUUAGCAAAAUUAAAUAAGGCUUAAAUUUAUUAUUACUGUUGUUGUUUUGAAAUGGAGUCUCACUCUGUCACCCAGGCUGGAGUGUUACCUCUGCCUCCCAGGUUCGGGUCAUUCUUCUGCCUCAGCCUACCGAGUAGCUGGGAUUGCAGGCACCCACCACCACACCUGGCUAAUUUUUGUAUUUUUAGUAGAGACUAAAAAUUGUCUUGCCAUGUUGGCCAGGCUGCUCUUGAACUCCUGACCUCAGGUGAUCUGCCUGCCUCGGCCUCCCAAAGUUCUAGAAUUGUAGGUGUGAGCCACCAUACCUGGCCAGAAGAUUUAAAUAGCCACAGAGAAAGAUUAAGUGAGACCUUGUCUCAAAGAAAACAAAAACAAAAACAAGAAAAACUAGGAGUGAGCUACUUUACCCAAAAGAACGCUUCAGAGGUUUGAAACUCAGAAGGCACCACCAAAGUUGUGAAAGGAGCAGGGCUGAACACAGAACUGGUUUAAAGCAUGUAAACAGAGAAUUGUUUGUUUUAGGUUCCCUCUGCCAUAUUAUAUGCAACCAGAGCCAUCACUUCUCAGCUGUGUGCAAACAUGAAGAAGCUUCCUAACACCUCUAACCAUCAGUUUCCUCAUUUGUAAUGAUAUUACGAAAAUGCCUACUCCAUAGGAUUAUCGUGAGGAUUGAGUGAAUCAAUACAUAUUAAGCACAUAGAAAAGUACCUAGCACAUGGUAAGCAUGCAAUAAAACUUGUUGUUUUAAGCCUUUGAUGCGAUUUGCCUUAUAAUUAAUUAUGGUGUCUAUACUACCUUGAGAAACACUAAUUUAAGUCAAAUCACCUCUGGGGACACAUGAAUGAGGAAGACAUAAUGGCACUUUCAUCUUGUGAGCACAGCUCCAUGACGUAUCACAGUGACACGGGCUUAGUCUCAAAGCAAGACUAACAAUCAUAAGGGUCAUAGGUAAAUACUAAAGACAGUAAAAGUGGUGGGAAAAAGGAACUAGGUGUGGGAGAGGUGCCUUGGAGCGCUUAAUGUCAUUCUGUGAGUACAGUAGCUACACAUUGCUUACCUUUGAAUAAACGAGAACCCGAUUACAAUAAGAAGUAAAACAUAUGAACAGACUGAAAUAAAACACAAUAAUCCAUAAAUAU
Molecule: long non-coding RNA, 1290 nt
Filed under: Homo sapiens (human)
Lineage: Eukaryota; Metazoa; Chordata; Mammalia; Primates; Hominidae
Description: non-protein coding lnc-IKBIP-10:1
Source: RNAcentral